This is a long non-coding RNA of Macadamia integrifolia, 1226 nucleotides long. RefSeq lists it as uncharacterized. The transcript is spliced from 3 exons. Lineage: Eukaryota; Viridiplantae; Streptophyta; Magnoliopsida; Proteales; Proteaceae. The record is from RefSeq and is a predicted model, not a curated record.
CUUUUUCACCAUAGAGGAAAAAAAAAAAAUUUUUUCCCACUCUCUCUCGUCAAAUCGCUACGUUCUCUGUAAACCCUGAAUAGACCUUCGAUUCAAAUCACACAUCCCCAAAAACUUCUUUGUUCGAUCCGGAAUCUGUUCAUCGGAAUCUGUUUAUCCAAUGGAGCCCGUAGCUUCUGUCGUUGAAAAAAUAAAAGGGUUCGCGAAAUCUCCCGAAGAGCUCUUCAAGGGCGUGAUUCACAGGCGGGAUAAUUCGUCUCAUCGCAAUCCGGUUGAAACAAGCUAUACGAUGGAGCUUUAGAUCUCGUCCCAUUGUGUUAUUUACAAAUUGAGAUUUUGAAAUGGUUGCAACGAGAAGUAUUUUCUGAUCUGAUGAAACUAAGGGACAGACGGGACGCAGUUGAAAGAAUGCUUUCCUUCUAUUUGUCUUCCAAGGGAAAUCCAUUUCAGAAAGCCAGUACCCACGUGACAGGAGAGGUGGAUGUUGUGGGCGCAUUAUUGCUUCUGGAUAAUAUUUGUUGGCAGACCUGUGGCACUGUUGAUAGAGCAGGAGUUAGGACUGGAAUUGUUUCAAAGUUCAUAUUUGAAGCAACUACUCAGUACUCUGCUAGCCAUGAACUCUGAAGAUGAAGCAACUGGAACUGUUUCAAGGUGCCAGAGCCUUACCGAUUUCACUUUUGGACCACCCCUCUUGAAUGAAUAUCAUGAUGCUGCUGGUGCAUUAUUUGGUGAAAAGAUCAAAGGUUGCUGCAUGUUUGGCUGAGUUUGUUUCUAGAUUGGGAAUGCAACCAGAUUCUACUGGAUUUAGGCAUUUCAUAAGCACUUUUGGGCAAGUUCUCUUGCAGCUUUCAAAGGGAAAAAAAACUCACUCUAUUGGGUAUUCAAAAAAUUUCCAAAUCAUUAAAUCAGCAGAGGUUUCCUUACUUUUCCGGUGGCUAGUUCAAGAUGUCACAAGCAUCCUCAUAUGCCCACUGAAGCAACUUUUCCAUCCGUCACCAGCAUUUUGGAGGACAAUGUAGCUAUCAGAUCCAUUAGUUUGAUGUUUGAGUUGGAGCUUGAUGAGAGUACUAGAAUCCAUAGUUGUCAAGGCGUCGCCCUAGGCGUUCAGGCGGUUUGUCUAGGGCCGAGGCGACAGCCGCCUUGUUGCACUGCAUGUCGCCUUGUGUUUCGGUAUUUAUUUAUGUCAAAUAUCAUUCAAGUAAAUGUUUUUAAUAUUUUUUAUUUCA